RNAcentral lists this unclassified non-coding RNA (336 nucleotides) under soil metagenome. RNAcentral's name for it is "partial contains 5.8S ribosomal RNA, internal transcribed spacer 2, and large subunit ribosomal RNA". The stretch from base 1 to 120 matches the Rfam family "5.8S ribosomal RNA", at positions 35 to 154 of the family's 154-position model. The record is from RNAcentral.
GAUGAAGAACGUAGUGAAAUGCGAUAAGUAGUGUGAAUUGCAGAAUUCAGUGAAUCAUCGAAUCUUUGAACGCACAUUGCGCCCCUUGGUAUUCCAUGGGGCAUGCCUGUUCGAGCGUCAUUUGUACCUUCAAGCUCUGCUUGGUGUUGGGUGUUUGUCUCGCCUCUGCGUGUAGACUCGCCUUAAAACAAUUGGCAGCCGGCGUAUUGAUUUCGGAGCGCAGUACAUCUCGCGCUUUGCACUCAUAACGACGACGUCCAAAAGUACAUUUUUACACUCUUGACCUCGGAUCAGGUAGGGAUACCCGCUGAACUUAAGCAUAUCAAUAAGCGGAGA